This 77-nucleotide small nucleolar RNA is filed under the name Zootermopsis nevadensis. Lineage: Eukaryota; Metazoa; Arthropoda; Insecta; Blattodea; Termopsidae. The record is from RNAcentral.
UGUUUAUGAUGACUUGCCAUGCUAAUACUGAGAGAGCCUUAGGUUCUCUGUGAGUUAAUUGAAAAGGCCUGAAACAA